This 698-nucleotide long non-coding RNA is filed under the name Homo sapiens (human). RNAcentral's name for it is "HSALNT0329988". Lineage: Eukaryota; Metazoa; Chordata; Mammalia; Primates; Hominidae. The record is from RNAcentral.
GCCAGGCUCGGGAAAGCUCCCAGCACACACCUGAAAAGCCGCACUGCCAAGGGCAGCUGCCAGGAGGAUCAGGGAGUGGCUGGUCAUGCACAACGGGGCCUUUGUGAGGCUUCUGCACAGGGGCACCCAUUGAACCAGGGCAGGGCCUGUUAGCUUAUGACCAGCAGGUGACCUGAUUUCCUUGUCCACUGGCACAGAGCACACCCUGCCACAGUGCAAGCCUGAGAAGCAGUGAGGACCCCAUGAAGCUGAAGGACAGGCCGAUCCCCCGAUAGACGAUUAGAUCUGGCUGGAGCAGAUUCAGAAAACCUCUUAUCUCCCCCAGGCGGAUGAUGUGCCCACCGACCACAUCAGCCACGUGAGAUCCAGUGCGACAGUGGAGCAUGUGUGCGCAGAGGAGACAGGAACAACAACCGGGAUGUCAUGCGGGCGCACUGGGGCUCCUUGUGGCCCCAGUGCACAGAAUUCUGGUGGACCCACCAUGUGUGGGAGCUCAGUGAGACUCAAAGUAAGUGCAAGGCCCUCCUCACACAUCGUACGCUGAAGGUGGAGCACACUGGGAAAAUGUGCAUGCAUCAAGAAGAAAAAUGAAAACUGAUUUUGUGCAACAUUUCCACUGUUCUUGGAAGAAUGAAAUAAAUGCAUAUGAGCUAUGAAAUAUGGAUUGUAUAAUUCUAGUGAUUCUGCAUAUAAGUCAG